Molecule: ribosomal RNA, 253 nt
Filed under: uncultured Lactobacillus sp.
Lineage: Bacteria; Bacillati; Bacillota; Bacilli; Lactobacillales; Lactobacillaceae
Description: partial 16S ribosomal RNA
Rfam family: Bacterial small subunit ribosomal RNA
Source: RNAcentral
UACGUAGGUGGCAAGCGUUGUCCGGAUUUAUUGGGCGUAAAGCGAGCGCAGGCGGUUGCUUAGGCCUGAUGUGAAAGCCUUCGGCUUAACCGAAGAAGUGCAUCGGAAACCGGGCAACUUGAGUGCAGAAGAGGACAGUGGAACUCCAUGUGUAGCGGUGGAAUGCGUAGAUAUAUGGAAGAACACCAGUGGCGAAGGCGGCUGUCUGGUCUGCAACUGACACUGAGGCGCGAAAGCGUGGGGAGCAAACAGG